Anthonomus grandis grandis is the source of this 1017-nucleotide long non-coding RNA. RefSeq lists it as uncharacterized. The transcript is spliced from 2 exons. The record is from RefSeq and is a predicted model, not a curated record. NCBI's taxonomy places the organism in Eukaryota, Metazoa, Arthropoda, Insecta, Coleoptera, Curculionidae.
AUCUUUGACUACUUCUGAACCACAUUCUAAUUCAAAACGAGUAGCAGUCGCUUGAUCCAAUCGAUUUAUUAACAUAUUAAGUAAAAUAAAAUCCCAGAACUUGACAGGGUAACCUAAAUUUUCCAAAACUGAGAUAUUUUCCAAAAAAGUAUCCACUAAUAAUAGUAAAGGAGCAGGGGUAUCUAGCUGAGGAAUUCGAACAGUUGAUUGAAUAGAGAGCCAGCAACUAUAUAAUUUUGGCUUGUCAAUGGUGUACAUUUAACGAGAGAGAGAGGAGCGUCUUUUAAAUUACUAACCAAAUAAUUAAACUUUUCAAUAUUAGUGAUAGAGUCAUUAUUGUGAAUCAAAAAGUCGUACAUAUCGAUAAAGGUCUGCCAUGUUUUCAAAUCUCCAUCAAAUACAGGUACAGAAAUUUUAGGAAGUAGCAGCAUUAAUAGGACAAAAGUUCGAAAAACAGCUCGAAUCUCAAAACAAAGAAAUAUCAACCCUAAAAACUGGAUUACAUCAGCUACAGGACGAAAACAAUCAACUCCGGUCCCAGAUAGAGAAUCAAGAACAAAUCAUGCGCAGCAACAAUAUUCGGAUUUUUGGUUUAAAAGCUGAACAACACGAAAACAUCCGAGAAAAUGUGUUAUCCCUGCUAAAUAAUAAACUUAAUUUACAUAUCAAUACCACCGAAUUAAAGAAAUGCUACACAAUUUCGCAAAGAAUUUCUGGCCGUAAACCGCCAGCAGUGCUUGUGCGGUUUUCAAGUGAUGAUGUUCGAUCGGCGGUACUUAAAAAUAGAAAAAUGCUUAAAAACACUGGUGUUUUCAUUAAAGAAGAUCUGACUAAGACACGGCUGACUUUAUUAAAUCAAGCAACGGACCUUUUUUCUAACAAAUGUGCGUGGGUGUCAAAUGGCAACAUUUAUGUCAAAGCAAGUGAUGGUUCCGUUCAUCGUGUGAGUUCUGAACGUGAUUUAGUGGGGCUAAAAAGUAGGCGUGAAAAGGACUAAUACAUGUGAAUAAAACGACA